RNAcentral lists this ribosomal RNA (394 nucleotides) under uncultured bacterium. Its description in RNAcentral is "partial 16S ribosomal RNA". It matches the Rfam family "Bacterial small subunit ribosomal RNA", at positions 338 to 729 of the family's 1533-position model. The record is from RNAcentral.
CCUACGGGUGGCAGCAGUGAGGAAUAUUGGUCAAUGGGCGUAAGCCUGAACCAGCCAAGUCGCGUGAGGGAUGAAGGUUCUACGGAUCGUAAACCUCUUUUAUAAGGGAAUAAAGUGCGGGACGUGUCCCGUUUUGUAUGUACCUUAUGAAUAAGGAUCGGCUAACUCCGUGCCAGCAGCCGCGGUAAUACGGAGGAUCCGAGCGUUAUCCGGAUUUAUUGGGUUUAAAGGGUGCGUAGGCGGCAUUUUAAGUGUGCUGUGAAAGGUUGUGGCUCAACCAUGGAAUUGCCGUUGAAACUGGGGGGCUUGAGUAUGCGUAAGGCAGGCGGAAUGCGUGGUGUAGCGGUGAAAUGCUUAGAUAUCACGCAGAACCCCGAUUGCGAAGGCAGCUUGC